GGGAAUUCUACUAUUUCACAUUCAGACAUCUCCAUAUUGUAUAGCUACCUAUGAAUCUCUGUAAUUUCGGUGCAUUCAAUUCCUACGAUUUCCCCAAAUCAUAUUCUUUCAUGGCGAUAAUGGUGGGUGACCCAUCAAAAUCCAAGGCAUUCAUGCUAUAUUGAGCUAGGUACUGAAACCCCUUAAACCCAUAUAUAAACCCCCAUUUUUUACUCUUUUCUUUUUAUUAUUUACUUUUGGGUUUCUUGCUUCAAGUUAGUUGCAAUGUGUUUUCCCAUUUUUUGUUCUUGGUCUUUUCCCCUCUAUAUCUUUCAAAAAUGUUAAGCUGCAUGUGCAGUACUUUAGUAAUUUAGCAUUGCUCUUUUUAGGGAUUUUUUUUUUUAAAAAAACAUCAUAGUUUCUACUAUGUAAAAGAUUAUGCGACUGACUGGUCAAUUACCCGAAAAGGGCUCUUGAUGUGGUGGAAAUUAUAGCAUUUUGAUUUUGAGUACCUUUUUGUUUUGUGAUUUUUUGAUGAAAUCAUCUCUUACUUGGAUCAUGAUGGAAUUGCCCCUUGAUUGCAAGACUACAGACAUGACAUUGUGUCCCAUUCUGUAUGUAUACGUGUGUUUGUGUAUGAGUAUGUUUGUGUGCGUGUACUUUAUGAUUACUUAUUCGGAUACGGUCAAAUUAGGUCUGAUUGUCUUUGAUCAUGGUUGAUUGCGACACAUUUGCUCAUUUGGUAAAAUUUUCUCUUAAAUUUUUAGGCCAUCCUGUCGCUGUGGAAAAAGUUUGCUUCACACUGAUUCCUACCGUAAUACUAAACUGUUUUUGGUCUCUCCUUGUCCCAGUUAGAUUGAUUAACUAUGAGACUGUAGAAUUUAGAUGACCUUGAAGUUGACAUGUUAAGGUUUUUAACUCAUUGUCAGAUCAGUUAUUUAUUCAUCAGCAUGUAAACAUUGUUCACAAGCGAGUAGAUGCGUUCGAGGCCUUGAUCUAAGAGCAUUGGUGUAAUUCUUGACCUUCUCGGCAUGUCAUACAGUUUCCUUCUAGCUUGUAUGUUGAAUGCUUUGAACUAAUAAAUACCGUGU
Molecule: long non-coding RNA, 1070 nt
Filed under: Panax ginseng (ginseng)
Lineage: Eukaryota; Viridiplantae; Streptophyta; Magnoliopsida; Apiales; Araliaceae
Description: long non-coding RNA (PGIN_LNC012840)
Source: RNAcentral